AGAGUUUGAUCAUGGCUCAGAACGAACGCUGGUGGCGUGUUUUAUACAUGCAAGUCGAGCGAGGACAGUAGCUUGCUACUGAGCCGAGCGGCGAACGGGUGAGUAACGCGUAAGCAAUCUGCCCCACAAUCGGGAACAACCGUGCCAACGCGCGGCUAAUGCCGGAUAUUGUGUCCUACUGCAUAGUAGGUUAACGAAAGAUUUAUCGUUGUGGGAUGAGCUUGCGUCCGAUUAGCUAGUUGGCGGGGUAAUAGCCCACCAAGGCGACGAUCGGUAGCCGGCCUGAGAGGGUGAUCGGCCACAUUGGGACUGAGAUACGGCCCAGACUCCUACGGGAGGCAGCAGUAGGGAAUAUUGCGCAAUGGGGGAACCCUGACGCAGCAACGCCACGUGUGGGAAGAAGCAUUUCGGUGUGUAAACCACUGUCGGAAAGGAAUAACGGAAGACUUCGGUCUUUAUGAAUGUACUUUUAGAGGAAGCACCGGCAAACUUCGUGCCAGCAGCCGCGGUAAUACGAGGGGUGCAAGCGUUGUUCGGAAUCACUGGGCGUAAAGGGAGCGUAGGCGGAAGUGCAAGCAAUCUGUAUAAUCCUGGGGCCCAACCCCAGUUCUGCAGAUUGGACUGUAUUUCUUGAAUAGUUCAGAGGCAAGCGGAAUUUCUGGUGUAGCGGUGGAAUGCGUAGAGAUCAGAAAGAACACCGAUGGCGAAGGCAGCUUGCUGGGGACUUAUUGACGCUGAGGCUCGAAAGUGUGGGUAGCAAACAGGAUUAGAUACCCUGGUAGUCCACACUGUAAACGAUGCAUACUGG
Molecule: ribosomal RNA, 808 nt
Filed under: uncultured bacterium
Lineage: Bacteria
Description: bacterial SSU rRNA
Rfam family: Bacterial small subunit ribosomal RNA
Source: RNAcentral